GGUCCCAGUUCGGAUUGUAGGCUGCAACUCGCCUACAUGAAGUCGGAGUUGCUAGUAAUCGCGGAUCAGAAUGCCGCGGUGAAUGCGUUCCCGGGUCUUGUACACACCGCCCGUCACACCAUGGAAGUUGGGGGCGCCCGAAGUUGGUCGGGAAAUAGAUUACCUAAGGCGAAACCAAUGACUGGGGUGAAGUCGUAACAAGGUAGC
Molecule: ribosomal RNA, 207 nt
Filed under: uncultured bacterium
Lineage: Bacteria
Description: partial 16S ribosomal RNA
Rfam family: Bacterial small subunit ribosomal RNA
Source: RNAcentral